CCUACGGGUGGCAGCAGUCGAGAAUCAUUCACAAUGGGGGAAACCCUGAUGGUGCGACGCCGCGUGGGGGAAUGAAGGUCUUCGGAUUGUAAACCCCUGUCAUGUGGGAGCAAAUUAAAAAGAUAGUACCACAAGAGGAAGAGACGGCUAACUCUGUGCCAGCAGCCGCGGUAAUACAGAGGUCUCAAGCGUUGUUCGGAAUCACUGGGCGUAAAGCGUGCGUAGGCUGUUUCGUAAGUCGUGUGUGAAAGGCGCGGGCUCAACCCGCGGACGGCACAUGAUACUGCGAGACUAGAGUAAGGGAGGGGGAACUGGAAUUCUCGGUGUAGCAGUGAAAUGCGUAGAUAUCGAGAGGAACACUCGUGGCGAAGGCGGGUUCCUGGACAUUAACUGACGCUGAGGCACGAAGGCCAGGGGAGCGAAAGGGAUUAGAUACCCCAGUAGUC
RNAcentral lists this ribosomal RNA (446 nucleotides) under uncultured bacterium. RNAcentral's name for it is "partial 16S ribosomal RNA". It matches the Rfam family "Bacterial small subunit ribosomal RNA", at positions 338 to 795 of the family's 1533-position model. The record is from RNAcentral.